RNAcentral lists this ribosomal RNA (1466 nucleotides) under uncultured Lachnospiraceae bacterium. RNAcentral describes it as "bacterial SSU rRNA". It matches the Rfam family "Bacterial small subunit ribosomal RNA". The record is from RNAcentral. Lineage: Bacteria; Bacillati; Bacillota; Clostridia; Lachnospirales; Lachnospiraceae.
GAUGAACGCUGGCGGCGUGCCUAACACAUGCAAGUCGAACGAAGCGGUGAUACGGAAGUUUUCGGAUGGAAGUAUGAUUGACUGAGUGGCGGACGGGUGAGUAACGCGUGGGCAACCUGCCUUACACAGGGGGACAACAGUUGGAAACGACUGCUAAUACCGCAUAAGCGCACGAUACCACAUGGUAACGUGUGAAAAACUCCGGUGGUGUAAGAUGGGCCCGCGUCUGAUUAGGUAGUUGGUGAGGUAACGGCUCACCAAGCCCGCGAUCAGUAGCCGACCUGAGAGGGUGACCGGCCACAUUGGGACUGAGACACGGCCCAAACUCCUACGGGAGGCAGCAGUGGGGGAUAUUGCACAAUGGGGGAAACCCUGAUGCAGCGACGCCGCGUGAGCGAAGAAGUACUCCGGUAUGUAAAGCUCUAUCACCAGGGAAAGGAGGUGAGGGGGGGCUGACGAAGAAGCUCCGGCUAAAUACGUGCCAGCAGCCGCGGUAAUACGUAUGGAGCAAGCGUUAUCCGGAUUUACUGGGCGUAAAGGGAGUCGUAGGCGGCUAGGUAAGUCUGAUGUGAAAACCCCGGGGCUCACCUCGGGAGUGCAUUUGUAAACUACCUAGCUAGAGUAUCGGAGAGGCAGGCGGAAUUCCUAGUGUAGCGGUGAAAUGCGUAGAUAUUAGGAGGAACACCGGUGGCGAAGGCGGCCUGCUGGACGAAGACUGACGCUGAGGCUCGAAGGCGUGGGGAGCAAACAGGAUUAGAUACCCUGGUAGUCCACGCGGUAAACGAUGAAUACUAGGUGUCGGUGCCCAAGGGGCAUCGGUGCCGCAGCAAACGCAGUAAGUAUUCCGCCUGGGGAGUACGUUCGCAAGAAUGAAACUCAAAGGAAUUGACGGGGACCCGCACAAGCGGUGGAGCAUGUGGUUUAAUUCGAAGCAACGCGAAGAACCUUACCAAGUCUUGACAUCCCCCUGAAACACAAGUAAUGUUGUGCGCCCUUCGGGGCAGGGGAGACAGGUGGUGCAUGGUUGUCGUCAGCUCGUGUCGUGAGAUGUUGGGUUAAGUCCCGCAACGAGCGCAACCCUUACCCUUAGUAGCCAGCAAGUUAGGUUGGGCACUCUAAGGGGACUGCCCGGGAGAACCGGGAGGAAGGCGGGGAUGACGUCAAAUCAUCAUGCCCCUUAUGACUUGGGCUACACACGUGCUACAAUGGCGUAAACAAAGGGAAGCAAAACCGCGAGGUCAAGCAAAUCCCAAAAACAACGUCUCAGUUCGGAUUGUAGUCUGCAACUCGACUGCAUGAAGCCGGAAUCGCUAGUAAUCGCGAAUCAGAACGUCGCGGUGAAUACGUUCCCGGGUCUUGUACACACCGCCCGUCACACCAUGGGAGUCGGAAACGCCCGAAGUCAGUGGCCCAACCGAGAGAUUUCUUGGAGGGAGCUGCCGAAGGCGGGGUCGAUGACUGGGGUG